RNAcentral lists this ribosomal RNA (253 nucleotides) under uncultured bacterium. Its description in RNAcentral is "partial 16S ribosomal RNA". It matches the Rfam family "Bacterial small subunit ribosomal RNA", at positions 524 to 776 of the family's 1533-position model. The record is from RNAcentral.
UACGUAGGGUGCUAGCGUUGUCCGGAAUUAUUGGGCGUAAAGAGCUUGUAGGCGGACUGUCACGUCCGCUGUGAAAUGCUAGGGCUUAACCCUGGCCUUGCAGUGGAUACGGGCAGACUAGAGGUAGGUAGGGGAGAAUGGAAUUCCCGGUGUAGCGGUGAAAUGCGCAGAUAUCGGGAGGAACACCGGUGGCGAAGGCGGUUCUCUGGGCCUUACCUGACGCUGAGGAGCGAAAGCGUGGGGAGCGAACAGG